UACGUAGGGCGCAAGCGUUGUCCGGAAUUAUUGGGCGUAAAGAGCUCGUAGGCGGCCUGUUGCGUCCGCUGUGAAAUCCCGGGGCUCAACCCCGGGCCUGCAGUGGAUACGGGCUGGCUAGAGGCAGGCAGGGGAGAACGGAAUCCUGGUGUAGCGGUGAAAGUGACGCAGAGUAUCAGGAGGAACACCGGUGGCGAAGGCGGUUCUCUGGGCCUGUACUGACGCUGGAGGAGCGAAAAGCCGUG
RNAcentral lists this ribosomal RNA (245 nucleotides) under uncultured bacterium. RNAcentral describes it as "partial 16S ribosomal RNA". It matches the Rfam family "Bacterial small subunit ribosomal RNA", at positions 524 to 765 of the family's 1533-position model. The record is from RNAcentral.